This 6892-nucleotide long non-coding RNA is filed under the name Jatropha curcas. RNAcentral's name for it is "long non-coding RNA (JCUR_LNC000092)". The stretch from base 5323 to 5400 matches the Rfam family "Small nucleolar RNA R66". The record is from RNAcentral. Lineage: Eukaryota; Viridiplantae; Streptophyta; Magnoliopsida; Malpighiales; Euphorbiaceae.
GUAGCACAUUUAAAGUCUAAACAGAAGUUGCAAUCUUCACACUCAAAAUAGCUGAACUUGGUUUCAUAGCAAGCACUGCAAUGACAGCUAUAGCUUCUUUUGCUGAGUACUAGGCGAAGAAGGUGGUCAUGCCCAUGGUGCUUAAGAGUUGAUAUAAUAGCAUAACAUCUAAUAUCAAGGUAGAAAUCACAUUUCUCACAAUGGUAGCAAAAUCCAUGGCAAUAUUGCUCACAAGCAUUACAUUUGAACAACCCAUCAAAGCUAUAUGCUUUUAAGAGAAGAGUAAGCGAGUGCCGGUGAAGUGGGUGUUUUAUCUUAGUAGACAAUUCAGAGCAUCCUUGUGCAGAAACAUGUCACAUUGUAGACAACCAUAGGUUAUUGAAGCAGACGACAAUGGUAACAUACACCCAACACAACGUUUCUUGUUGUUAACCUGAUCAAUAAUGGCCAACCCAUGUUCAUGACUAAACUGUUUGUUCUCUGUAACUAGUUGUUCGUCUGCAUCAUCAUCACUAGUUGAUUUUAUAGAUAAAUCUCCAAGCGUAUCAGUACCAAGUUUGUGAGUUUCAUCUUCAACCCCAAUUAAAUGUGUGCUUGCGCAAUCGACAUGAACAACAUAAUCGCAGAGAGAACAAUAAUAACCACCAUGGUCUAAGUUCAUUUCAAUUUGACAAAUUCCACAAGAUUGAUCUGUGGAUUCACUAUUCUGAAGGAAAUAGAAGUGGGUCACAUGUCUAUGCUCUGUUAUUCUAAUAGCUUUAGGUCGUGAAAUGCAUUCUUUAUGAACCAUAAUUUGACACAUAAUACAGAUAUAAGGAGAUCGAGUCCCUUCGUUCCCACAAGCAUCACAAGUGAAAUUAAUUGACUUCAACAAGUGAAAGAAUUGAUGCUCGUAAUUACCUGUAGGUGUACCAGAAACACAUGGCUUCAAGGCACAAUCGAUGUCGAGAUCGAAUUGGCAUAGAGAACAAUUGUAGACCAUGUUGUUUAAAGAUCUACUGCACAGAUCACAAAAGCCUCGUCCUGAAGAAUAUGGCUGGACCAUUAAGAGAGUGAGAGGGUGUUUCCUGUGCAAGGGAUGGUUGAUCUCUCGAGGUAGCUCUGCACAGGCUUUAUGGAGGAAGAAGCUGCAUUUGAAACAAUUGUAACUAGGACCUGAUAUUAGCUGCUUGCACCCACAACAAACAUUGUUGUUUUCGUCAUUUAUUUCUUCUUCAUUAUAGAUCAAAUUAUGAAUAUGGCUGAAAUGUUCAAGCUCCAUAUCCUCCUCUGUAAAACUCUCUCUCUCCUUUUCCUUGUUCUUCCCAGAUCUCCUCUCCAUUUUCUUUCCUUCCCCUUUUUCCUUUUUUUAUUUCUUUUCUCCAUCCUGACACGCAGACUGUCUAGUAAUAACUUCAUUUAUUAUUAUUAUUAUUAUUAUUAUUAUUAUCCAAAAAUCUUAUACCAACCAUAACUUUCACACCAGAAGUUCAAUUACGCAGUAAUUCUUGCAUCCCAUUUUAUUUUAUUAUUAUUAUUUUUUAAUGUUCUAAAAAUAUUUACAAGAUUUCUAAAUAUAUAUAUAUAUAUAAAUAAUUAUUUUUCUUAUAAUAAUCUUUAAAAUUCAUCGUUAAAUGAAGAAAUUUUACUACUAUCUUAGUGAAUUAAGUAUGAAAAAGGACAAAAUAACUUUUAUUAAUUAAAUUCUUAAUAUACUUUGUUUUGUCAAACUAUAAAAAAAAAUAGAAUGAAGGGAAUAUUUGACAAAAUUGAAUAAUAUUUUAUUUAUUUUCUAUUGAAUUGGGCUGUUUUGAUUUUAGUAUUUUUAAAAUAUAGUGUGGACUAAAUUAAUUAAUGCACAACCUCUCAAUAAUAUUUGAGUUGUUUUUGGAAUGAUAAAUUUUAAAUUCAAAUCACGGUCAGAAGUGAAUUUAAAUUUUAAAACAAGUUAAUAAUAAAGUUAACAAACAAUUCAAAAGGUCACAGUUCGUUUUUAAUAUAUAUAUAUACCAAAUUUAUUAUUAGUGAGAGUACAUACAACCGACAAUUUAAAAGAGCCAAACGCAUAUUUGGACCUAGUAUUAAAUAUAUGCAUUUGGCCAAUUUAAAAGUUCUGCUUGUGUAUUAAAUAUAUGCACAUACAUGACCUGAAACCAAUAAACAAAAAUGUUGAACAAAGUGAAGUGAUAGAUUCCCUGAGUUAUGGGUUUAUUUUCACUCAUUAUCCCUUAAUUAUAUUUUAUAUUUUUAAUUAUCCCUAUAUUUCAAUUUAUUAUUUAAAAUACCUAAAUUACUAUUUAAAUAACAUAAAAGUUUUUUCACCAGUUAUGCGGUAAACAGCCGGUAAUUUUGCUGACAUGUACAUGUUUUUUAACAAAAAAAUUUCAUAUAUGAUUUUUUAAUAAUUUUUUUCUCUCCCACCUUGUAAUUUUCUCUCUCCUCUGUUCCCUCUUUCUCUCUCUUGUUUGCCGCUCACUCCAUUCCUCUUCUCCAUUGUACGAUCACAGCUCCUCCCCACAGCACCGCAAUCCCAUUUUUAUUAUUUCAUGGUCAAGAAGCAACACCAAGCCACCAAACACCAACCAAACCCUUCUCUCUCUCUCUCUCUCUCUCUCUCUCUCUCUCUCUCUCUCUAUCUUGUUUCUGAUCCAAACAUCUUUUCCUCCAUUAAUGGUGUCUUAUAGAGCAUUCAAUCCUGAAAAUGUACACUUCAUUUCUCUCUCUAAAAAAAUAUAAAAAUUCAAUACCACUCUCCUUCUUGAUCUUCAUGUUUGUAUAGAUCUUGUAGUUCUCUUUAUAUAUUUGAAAUCAAAUUAAGCUCUCAUGUCAAAUUCCAGUGCAAUUUUUGCAUAAUUUAUUAAUCUUUUUCUUACAACUUACAAUCUUUAAAGCUCUCAAAUGAAAUCUUCUCCAUCAGACGGAUGACCAUGGUGCUUGGGAGGAUUUCCCUUUUUUUUGUAAUUUUUAAAUUUUUUUAAUUUAUUGGGUUAGUUUUUCAAAUUAAAGAUAACUAUUAUAAAAAAAAUUAUACCGUGGAUUUUCACUUCAUAUAAUUGUGGUUUAUGCUUCCAUUUUGCCUUUGUUAUUUCUUUUGUGACCUUUAGCUUCUUACUAUGUAAUUUUUAUCUAAUAUUUUUUCUCCCUUCGGUAUCACUUUUUUUAUGUAUGGAGAAAGCUUUUUUAAAGUAGGUUUUCCUAAGGUUUUAUUUUCCUUUUUUUCAUAAAUAAUUUACUACUUGUUUUGGAGUUGUGCUAAUGUUAUCUAAUCUAUUUUUAGUUUCAUAGCUUUAAAAAAUCUGAAAAGAACAGAGAUGAACUAGAGCAAGGAGAGAAGAUGAGCUCAGAUUGGAGAUCAGCGUUUUACUUUUUCUGGCAAGAGAGAGAGAGAUGGGUAGAGGAGAGAUGGGAGAGAAAAAUAAAAUUAAAAUGGAGAUAACAUUAUUAAAAAAAAAUAUGAUGUGGCAUUUUGAAAGUAAUUAUUUGCUGACUAAGUAAUUUCAUGUCAGCAUUUCACCUGCAGUUGACUGGAAAACUGGUAAGAAGACUUAUGAGUUAUUUCAAUAAAAGUUCAUGUAUUUUUAAAUUACGAAUUGAAGUAUAAAGACAAUUAAGAAAUGAGAAGUAUAUUUGAGGGACGAUGGGUGAAAAUAAGCCUUGAGUUAUGUGUUUAAUAUCUAGGGUAAAAUACAGUUUGUACUUAAUUAUAUUCUAAUUAAUAUUUUUUGUCCAUUUAUUUUCGAGAACUUAUCAUGAUGUUUCUAAGUUUUGUUUAAAUUCUUUAUUGGCUCCUUCCCUCUAAAAAAUCAGCACCGUAAAGUUAGUUAAGUAUUUUUUUGGAUGGAAUAUGUUUAUUUUUUAGAUGAAAAAUUCUAUAUUAACGACUUAAAAGUAAUUUUUCAAAAUAGAGUGAGGAAAGUGUGAAUUAGAAUAUAAUUUAGGAAUCCAAAUAUAUUUUACUCUUAUAUUUAUAUUAUGUUAUUUAGAUAAUAUAAAAUAAUAUAAGAUAUUAGGUAGUAUUAAUUUAAGUCUGCAAAGAGAUUUUUCUUUUUCUUUUUUUUUUUUGAAUAAGAAUGAUGAUUAUAUAUUAAGAGGAUCAAAAAACAAAACAUUCUGAAUAAUUGCUGGAGGGACAGGACCCCACUCCAUCAAACCAAACAAAGAAUUAGCCCUUGACAACAAAUGGGCACAAGGGUUCACUGAUUUUUUUAGCAAAUAGCAAAGCUAUAGCACUGAACUCUUUAAGAAGAGUUCUACACUCAUUAAGCAAAAUACCAAAACAGGAACAAUCAGAAACUAAAGUGCAUAAAGCUUGGAUGACCACCAGACAGUCACUCUCAACUUCCAAACUUUCCAACAAACCUUUAUUCUUUAACCAGCUUAAGGCCUCACGGAAACUCAACAACUCAGCCAUAGUUGCAUUCAUGACACCUUCCAUAACCAUGCUGCCACCUCCCUUUCAUCGACCUUGUCAUCCUACAACAGCCACCUAAACCUACUCUAUGCGGUACAACAUCCUAUGCUGUAUCGAAAUUAAGUUUACAUAGGCCCACUUUCGAAGCACACCACUUCACAGGAAAUGCCAACUGACCUUGAAAGCCUCCAUGGUGCUAACUUGUCUGCGCCAUUUGCCAUUCAUCCAUGAUAUGCCUAGCUCUUCUUAUAAUGAUCGAGGAUGGAACCUGUUUUUGAGCCCAUACCAUCUGAUUUUGAUUCCACCACAACUCCCAUGCUAAAGUAAAUGCUAGGCCCCAUUUGUCCUUAGACACAUUAAUGAGAAUCGACUCCAACCACCCAGAUACAGAAGUAACUCUCGUUCACCACCCCAGGUUAGAUUGGCUCCAUGUGGCUUGAGCUAUUGGACAUAAUCAGACAACAUUAAGUGUCGUCUCCUCAUCCACCCCACACAAAGGGCAUGUAGUGUUCAUGUCUACAUGGAGAGCUUUCAAAUAUACCAGGACAGGCAGACAUCCUGACACCACCCUCCAAACAAAAUUUCUGAUCUUUCCAGCUAUACCACAGCUCCACACAGCCUUCCAAAGCCGUUCAUGAAUAGGAGAAUGAUAAUUUUUCUCCCUAUAUAGAAUCUGAUAAUCGCUUCGAAUAGAAUAGCUACCUUUCGUUCCCCACCACCAAAACUAGGACUAUUCAAAAUCCAUAGCACUCAACAGAAUUUGUCUAAUAAUAUUACACUCAUGAGGAGAGAACAACAUUGACAGAGCUUCAUUGUCCCAUAUCCAUCGCCCAUGGCUAAACAGGUUCGAAACCAUCAUGUCUUCUAUACUUGUGUUGUUCGAUGAUUGCACAUAGGGAGCAGUUAUAUUGAUUCUUUAAACAUUCUGUGGAUACAGUGAAUGGCAUUGAUUCUUUGAGACAUGAUAUAACACUAACUUGAAGAAAAUUACAAGUAUAAUUCAUGAGGACCCUCCGAUGAUUGUUGAUUUGGAUUCCAUUAAAGACGACAGUGUUUAUGUCGGUUGCAAUUACUUUGGUUUCAAUUUUGUGGUCAAGGAGGAAGCACUUGACGUGUGAUGAUCACGAGUAUCCGACACCGUUUUGGUACCAGAUCUUUUUUCUUUUUUUUGCCCCUUUCGUCCUCAAUAAGUCACUGUAAUGUCUUAUGUUACAGUUCCCUCUCUGGACACAGCCGUAAUAUGUAAUUUAACGUGGCUGUCUUUGUUUGUUUCUUGCUUUUUUUUGGGAAAUAUAAUUGGAAUAUAUGUUGCUUAUAAGCUACAUCUCAUUUAUCAGAUAUUAAAUAAACAAAAAAAUUUUACUCUUGGGUACAAGACCAAGAAUUGUUAUAAGAAGACUUUCAGUAACUUCAUAAAUAACAAAGUCUGUUCUCCCGUUACUGUUGCACGUUUUGGGUAAAACAAGGACCUUUCCGGUGGAUGAUGAAAUUACACUGACUGCACUGCAGAGCCAAGUCCUCGUCAAAAGGCUCAGCGCAGUGAUCACAUGGCGGGUAGAACUUUCUCUUCUUGACCAAGAUAAAAGGUUUCUGGACUAAAGUGAGACCAUGUGAAUGGAUUCCACUAAGUGAAUAAGCACUACUUCUGUCAAACUUGAUAUAUGGGUACCUUCCAAGAACACAUUCAGGGUGAAUAGAAAUGUCACAUUCUUCACACCCAUAAAACCAGGGUGCAUAGUUGAAGACAUAAGUCCCAGGGUCUAUUCUCAUCUCGCAUACCUCACAGUAAUGGUCAAACGACCUGUCGCUAACAAAAUCAUAUGUAAGCUUAAGAGGAUGCUUCUCAUCAAAUCUGUGUCUAACUGAGAUUGGUAGAGUAGCACAUUUAAAGUCUAAACAGAAGUUGCAAUCUUCACACUCAAAAUAGCUGAACUUGGUUUCAUAGCAAGCACUGCAAUGACAGCUAUAUGUCACGGGCAUAGAGUCUCGCGCAGCACUGCGCUUGUGCGGCGCCCCGAGAGCCCUCCCGCUUGGCUCCGAGGCAAGCCUUGCCAUAUCGUACCGAACUGGUUUUGCCCUGCCAUGGGCUCAUCAGGAGAGCGGCCCAGCUCUCGACCAGUUGUGCCCGAGCGGAACACUACCCCGCCUGCAUGCAGACUUUGCAUGGGGUAAUGGACCACUGGGGCAGAACGCCUUAAUCCGCUAAGCCGCCCCAACCCACGCAGGUUGAAACGCAGCUAGGUACGCUCUUCACAUGCGGCCUUACACGGUUACGGAAUUUGUCCGUAACAUAUAGCUUCUUUUGCUGAGUACUAGGCGAAGAAGGUGGUCAUGCCCAUGGUGCUUAAGAGUUGAUAUAAUAGCAUAACAUCUAAUAUCAAGGUAGAAAUCACAUUUCUCACAAUGGUAGCAAAAUCCAUGGCAAUAUUGCUCACAAGCAUUACAUUUGAACAACCCAUCAAAGCUAUAUGCUUUUAAGAGAAGAGUAAGCGAGUGCCGGUG